GCGUCGGUGGGUUCAGUGGUAGAAUACUCGCCUGCCACGCGGGUGGCCCGGGUUCGAUUCCCGGCCGACGCA
This 72-nucleotide transfer RNA is filed under the name Haemaphysalis longicornis (longhorned tick). It matches the Rfam family "tRNA". Rfam says of the family: Transfer RNA (tRNA) molecules are approximately 80 nucleotides in length. Their secondary structure includes four short double-helical elements and three loops (D, anti-codon, and T loops). Further hydrogen bonds mediate the characteristic L-shaped molecular structure. tRNAs have two regions of fundamental functional importance: the anti-codon, which is responsible for specific mRNA codon recognition, and the 3' end, to which the tRNAs corresponding amino acid is attached (by aminoacyl-tRNA synthetases). tRNAs cope with the degeneracy of the genetic code in two manners: having more than one tRNA (with a specific anti-codon) for a particular amino acid; and 'wobble' base-pairing, i.e. permitting non-standard base-pairing at the 3rd anti-codon position. The record is from Rfam by way of RNAcentral. Lineage: Eukaryota; Metazoa; Arthropoda; Arachnida; Ixodida; Ixodidae.